This 483-nucleotide ribosomal RNA is filed under the name uncultured bacterium. RNAcentral's name for it is "partial 16S ribosomal RNA". It matches the Rfam family "Bacterial small subunit ribosomal RNA", at positions 30 to 506 of the family's 1533-position model. The record is from RNAcentral.
AUUGAACGCUGGCGGCAUGCUUUACACAUGCAAGUCGAACGGCAGCACGGGCUUCGGCCUGGUGGCGAGUGGCGAACGGGUGAGUAAUACAUCGGAACGUACCCAGAAGUGGGGGAUAACGUAGCGAAAGUUACGCUAAUACCGCAUACGAUCUAUGGAUGAAAGCAGGGGACCGCAAGGCCUUGUGCUCCUGGAGCGGCCGAUAUCUGAUUAGCUAGUUGGUGAGGUAAAGGCUCACCAAGGCGACGAUCAGUAGCUGGUCUGAGAGGACGACCAGCCACACUGGAACUGAGACACGGUCCAGACUCCUACGGGAGGCAGCAGUGGGGAAUUUUGGACAAUGGGCGCAAGCCUGAUCCAGCAAUGCCGCGUGAGUGAAGAAGGCCUUCGGGUUGUAAAGCUCUUUUGUCAGGGAAGAAACGGUAGAGGCUAAUAUCCUUUGCUAAUGACGGUACCUGAAGAAUAAGCACCGGCGAACUACGU